AGUGUUGUGGCUCAGUGGUAGAGCACUCGCCUAGCAUGUGCGAGGCCCUGGGUUCAAUCCUCAGCACUACAA
This 72-nucleotide transfer RNA is filed under the name Marmota marmota marmota (Alpine marmot). It matches the Rfam family "tRNA". Rfam says of the family: Transfer RNA (tRNA) molecules are approximately 80 nucleotides in length. Their secondary structure includes four short double-helical elements and three loops (D, anti-codon, and T loops). The record is from Rfam by way of RNAcentral. RNAcentral also lists the same sequence under 1 other name. Lineage: Eukaryota; Metazoa; Chordata; Mammalia; Rodentia; Sciuridae.